This 28-nucleotide small RNA is filed under the name Bombyx mori (domestic silkworm). Its description in RNAcentral is "ovarian small RNA-5671". The record is from RNAcentral. Lineage: Eukaryota; Metazoa; Arthropoda; Insecta; Lepidoptera; Bombycidae.
UAACGCAUCGUUGCUGCCUAUAAAAUUA